Molecule: non-coding RNA, 1527 nt
Organism: Tetranychus urticae (two-spotted spider mite)
Lineage: Eukaryota; Metazoa; Arthropoda; Arachnida; Trombidiformes; Tetranychidae
Source: RefSeq, a predicted model, not a curated record
UUUCGAUUUGCCCAUUUAAUCUAUGUUAUUCAAUAGCUGACCAUUUGACUGUUGAGCUAAACUGGUGCAAGUCUUGAGGAAAUUUUAAAUUGCGUCUCGGUUGAUUAAUGAAAUUUUCAUUUCUUCGCAUUUGCAUUUUAAAUCUGUCUGGCCUUAUAAGCAACCAUUUUGCUAUUAAAUUUACUGGUUAUUAUGAGAAAUCUUUGAUUAUAGUUGACUUUUAGGUGUUCAAAUUACUCUAAUGAGUUGCAUCUAAUUCCCUAUCAAUUAGACCUUUAUUCUGAAUCCAAUAUUUUCCUGAACAAAUGAUGACUUCAAUAUGUAAUUUGAAUAAAAAAUGCCUCAAUAGUCAAUGGGUUUGAAAAUUGUGACAAAAUAUUUUCUGAUCUUAACAGUAAUUCAAAUUAAUCACACACCAUCUUGACAUUUGAUUGAUUGUUGUUUUUGUUCAUUUUUGCAUAGAGCUAUUGGUUUUGCAUAAACUUGAAAACAUUAUUAUUAUAAAAAUAUUAAUAUUGGACUAUUUAUUUCCUCUAAUUGAUUUUUAUCCACACUUUUGUUGCUUCAAAUUCACGUGAGAAAUCAGAUAAACUCAAUCAGAUAAUUUAACCCUUGAAAAUAUAUCAUUAAAUAAAAAUCGAAUCACUAAUGAAUUUUGAAUUCAAAAAAUGUGUCAACCGAUUGACAAUCGUAAUGAUUGUGAACUUGCAAUUUAUCAACAAAUGUAUAUAAAUCAACUAACUUAAUUAGAUUGUGUUUGUCUGAUUUUAUCUCAGUUCAAAUAAACGGAAAACAAUCAACAUCAAAGAGUCAAGAUUCAUUAUGAAUUAUUUAAUAUUAUAAUGUGCUUAGAUUUAUAGACGAUCCCUUAUUUGCGUCAAUUUAGAUCAACAGAUGCAUAAACAGUCAGUUUAUAUUUUGAAUCUUGUUGAUUGUGAUAACAAAAUAAUAGUUGAUCAUGAUUUAGAUUAAUUAAUAGAAGGAUUUACUUACAAUAUGUUUGUUCUGCAAGUUUAGUUAUCUUCUGUUUCUCUAUUUUACGGCUACAAUGGUUACCCAUUACCAGGAGUUACACAAGCCACAACAGAAGCAACAGGACAAUCAAUUUAAUUGAUGCCAAUGGGAUGGUUUCUUUAAUCACAAGAGUCAAUUAACAGUCGAAUGAAGUGACACAAUUAACACGUUUAUUAAUAAAUUCAAUCGGGAAGAAAGAUGAUAAAGUAAUUAUGUUUCUGGUGAUAUUGAUUGAAGAUAAAAGUUGAGUCAAGUCCAGAAAAGGUCUGCGCAAAGUUACCUGAUAAUUAAAUAUCAAUAACUGGAACAGUGUGUAUAAGCGCCCAGCUUUCACCCAAAAUUGCUACUGAUUAGUGAACAUCAAUCAAUGUUAAUCUUUGGUAUUUUUGAUAAUUUUAACUGCUAUUUAGGUUCAACCAUUCUGGAGGUGGCAAAUCAUAUCAACACGCUCAUCUCAUCCCAAUCGAUCUUGGAUUUUAUGAAAAUAUAAUAACAAUGUUAUUUUAAAACAAA